This 255-nucleotide ribosomal RNA is filed under the name uncultured bacterium. RNAcentral's name for it is "partial 16S ribosomal RNA". It matches the Rfam family "Bacterial small subunit ribosomal RNA", at positions 57 to 305 of the family's 1533-position model. The record is from RNAcentral.
GCAAGUCGAACGAGAACGGGUUAUAGCUUGCUAUAACUGUCAGCUAAGUGGCGCACGGGUGAGUAAUAUAUAGUUAAUCUGCCCUAGAGAAAGGGAUAACGUUUGGAAACGAACGCUAACACCUUAUAUGCCUUUAUCACAUAAGUGAGCAAGGGAAACAUUUAUGGCUCUAGGAUGAGACUGUACGGUAUCAGUUAGUUGGUGAGGUAAUGGCUUACCAAGGCGACGAUCCCUAGCUGGUCUGAGAGGAUGAUC